Molecule: long non-coding RNA, 408 nt
Filed under: Oryza brachyantha (malo sina)
Lineage: Eukaryota; Viridiplantae; Streptophyta; Magnoliopsida; Poales; Poaceae
Description: long non-coding RNA (OBRA_LNC003337)
Source: RNAcentral
UUUUAUUUUAGCUUGCUCAGACUACUCUUGACUCGAUAGUGAGAGGUUGGAGGAAAACUAAUUAAAUUCAAUUAUUAUAUAUAUUAGGAAAAUUAUUUUAGUAAAAACAAUUUACGUACUGGUGCACUUUCAUGUUGGUUAAGUCCGAUACAUAUACUUAUAUAUAUGUACGGAAAGUGUCAGCGAGAAAAAUAUUUUCUUAUUCUUCUCUUCAUGUAUGAAAAUUGAGCAUGGAGCAUUAGAGAUUGAAAAUAACAUGAUCAGGACGAUCGAGCUCAAGUUGUAGUAGCACUCCGAUCUACUUCACCUCUGACAUUAUAAUUAUUGUAUUUUUAGGACUUACCAAGUUAAAUAUAUAUUUAUGUUAUUUUAUCCGUACAUCUAUAAAAAUCAUGAAUAUAUGUAGCC